UAUUGAGCACUUACUCUGUGCCAGGUACUUUGUACAUGUUCCUGGCACAGAGUAAGUGCUCAAUA
This 65-nucleotide microRNA precursor is filed under the name Gorilla gorilla gorilla (western lowland gorilla). RNAcentral describes it as "mir-3116 microRNA precursor family". It matches the Rfam family "mir-3116 microRNA precursor family". The record is from Rfam by way of RNAcentral. Lineage: Eukaryota; Metazoa; Chordata; Mammalia; Primates; Hominidae.